This 140-nucleotide ribosomal RNA is filed under the name Alisma plantago-aquatica. Its description in RNAcentral is "partial 26S ribosomal RNA". It matches the Rfam family "Eukaryotic large subunit ribosomal RNA", at positions 1 to 141 of the family's 3401-position model. The record is from RNAcentral. Lineage: Eukaryota; Viridiplantae; Streptophyta; Magnoliopsida; Alismatales; Alismataceae.
GACCCCAAGUCAGGCGGGAACACCCGCUGAGUUUAAGCAUAUUAAUAAGCGGAGGAGAAGAAACUUACAAGGAUUCCCCUAGUAACGGCGAGCGAACCGGGAAAUGCCCAGCUUGAAAAUCGGAAGGCUCUGCCCUCCGA